UUCAAGAUGGCCAAGCGGUCAAUGGCGCUGCGUUCAUGUUGCAGUCCACUUGUGUGGGCUUGGGUUAGAAUCCCACUUCUGACA
Molecule: non-coding RNA, 84 nt
Organism: Trichonephila clavipes
Lineage: Eukaryota; Metazoa; Arthropoda; Arachnida; Araneae; Nephilidae
Source: the annotation of a GenBank genome assembly